GGAGUCGAGUAUGAAUGGGUCUACGGAAACAAGCUGUCUCUUUUUGGUUAUACUGAAGUUUCUUUAAGGGUGCAAAGUCCCUUGAUUAGAAAAAAGACGAGAAGACCCUUAGAGUUUUUAUUAAAGAUAAGAAUUUAUUUAAGUUUUUGCUGGGGCGGCAAAGAGACAAAACAAUUAAACUCUCUUUUUAUUGUUUUUAGAAGACGAAAAUGUUAAGAAUCAUUAAACUACCUUAGGGAUAACAGCAUAAUUAAAUUUUAGUUUGUGACCUCGAUGUUGGACUAGGAAGGCUUUUGACCAGCAGUCAA
RNAcentral lists this ribosomal RNA (308 nucleotides) under Peronia verruculata. RNAcentral describes it as "partial large subunit ribosomal RNA". Lineage: Eukaryota; Metazoa; Mollusca; Gastropoda; Systellommatophora; Onchidiidae. The record is from RNAcentral.